Long non-coding RNA from Acinonyx jubatus (cheetah), 1227 nucleotides. RefSeq lists it as uncharacterized. The transcript has 2 exons. The record is from RefSeq and is a predicted model, not a curated record. NCBI's taxonomy places the organism in Eukaryota, Metazoa, Chordata, Mammalia, Carnivora, Felidae.
AUCUUUUUUUAAGGCCUCAUUAUCUUCCUACAGGGGACGCUGAAUUCCAUAACCACUGCCCUAUUGUUAGACUGUUUCCAUUUCCCCAGUUGUAACAGGCUAUGAGAUACAGCUUUGUACACAAAUCUUUUCUUCCGCCAUGCCUGCUGUUUACCUUAGGACCCAUUCCCAGAAGAGAAAUUACUGAGCAAAAGCAAAUGAGCAUUUUUCAAGCUACAGAUUCUGGAACUGCUCUCCAGACACACUGCUUCAGUCUCCCAGGGUCUCCACCAACCCAGCCACCUUUGGCUCUGAGGACGUUCUGCAGUGAAAUAACCAUUGCUUUGAGCUCUCAUAAAGGUUACCUGUGGUGGAAACAAAACUAAAUACAACCCGGACACCAUUUUGCUUGCGUCCUAAACUGGAAACAGGCUUGUGCAGAACACUCUUGGGAGCCUCACCGGGUGGCAUGGAAUGGAAUAGCAGGACAGAUUCCUGGAAGAAGAGAAUGAGAACUCCAUCCCUGUGUGUUGUGAGAGAAGAAGCAAAUGAUCAAUACAACCCACUCCAUCCCCCUUCCCCCAGCCCACAGCAAAGAUGCCUGGAAUUAGAGCGGAGUUUCCUAAUAUGCCUGCGUCAGGAAUAUAGCUGGAGAUAGCCGAAAGUAUCACUUCAGGGUUUGAAAAUAGAUCAUUUCCACACUUACCAAGCAAGAUUUAACUUCAUCUCCUUGUUUUCAGUUUAGCACCUUGGCCUGGUCCUCCUCUCGGCCUGGCAUCCCUGAGCAUGGGACUUCAGCAGAGAACAAAUGUCUAGUCUUCUAAGAAGAGAGAGAAGAGGACCGGAAGGGUGGAAAUAUAAAUGCCUGGCUGCACAGAGGUGGAUGAGGGAACCCAGAGAUCUACCUUCUAUAGACCUUCAACCAAACUGUGUUUUAGCCUCAUGCUUCAUCUUCACUCUCUGCGGUACGUAGUGGCUCUGAAGCCUGAAUCUUUCUGGGGGUCUUGUGAAAAAAUUGUUCAUGAAAAAAAAAAACAAAAAUUCUCAGCGUGCCUGGAUGGCUCAGUCAGUUGGUUAAGCGUCUGACUCUUGAUCUCUGCUCAGGUCAUGAUCUCAUGGUUCGUGAGUUUGAGCCCCAAGCCCUGAGUCAGGCUCUAUGCCAACAGCACAGGAGCCUGCUUGGGUUUCUCUCUCCCUCUCACUCUCUGCCCCUCCCCCACUUGUGCUCUCUCUCUCUCUCUCUCUCUC